CCGGGCGGCAGCUGCACCGAGCAGGGGAAGCAGCGCCGCCGCGGCCGCCAACAGUGCGGCCUUCGGGCGCUGUGAGCCUCCCACCCACCGAGGGGAGGCCCCGCGACCCCAGCCUCGCUGAGGCGGCAAGGGAAGCGCCGAGAGCGGCGGCCGCGCGCGGCCGCGUACUUGCUGGCCGCAGCCAUCCCAGUGGAGAUGAAGUGGUAUCUCAUUGUGGUUUUGAUUUUGACUAUGGUUUUUGAGGCAGCAUGGAAGCUGUGGAGAAAUGACUUCGAGCAGAAAUGGCCUAAGAGGACUGAAGGGGCUCUGCUGUCCCUGGGAGCAGUGCCUUUGGCAUCCUGGCCUUUUUUGGCUCCUGUUCAGUUUCAGAACUUGCUUCUCCAGUCUCUCCAUUGAUUUUGUGAGUUACCUGAUAGCCUUCAAAUAAAGUCCCUUUCCACCUAAGCUAACCAGAGCCAGUUUCUAUUGCUGCAAACCAAAGAUCAUCAUUGGUACCACAUUUAACCGUAGUCUUUAGACUUCUUUAUACUUCCUGAGUGCCUCUUCUCUUGUUGCACUUCUUCACUUUUCCCCAAACUAACAGUCUCCUCACUGCUGUCUCUUUCCUCAGCCACCCACUUCUACUCAUCACCUUGUCUUAUGCCUCUAAGAUGCAACUCUGAUCCCCUUCUCUCCCUUCACGUUUAGCCUCCUUGAUUUAGCACACAAGUCCAUCCAUAAUGUGACCACUGCCUUCUCUGGGUUGCUUUCCUGCCACCACCUGCAGCCAGCCCUCAGAUUGGCUUAGAGUACCUCAUUUAUGUAAUUUCUCCUCCACCUUCCUUGAUGUCCUCCUUCUUCCCACCCCAUCUGCUCUGGGUGCCCCUCUAACAUAACACAAGAUACUGUAAUUAUCAUUGAUAUACUGUUUUCCUCACUACAAUGUAACAUUUUUAAGAGGAGGAAUCAUGCUUUGUGUCACUGUAUCUCAGGACUUAGCAUGUGUCAUUGACACCAAGGUCACUAUUAGUUAGAAGAUCUAUAUACAAGUUAUAGCCAUUCUGUCAUUUAUUCUAGAAAAGCGGUAGAGGUAGAGGUGACCAGCAGGACACUGAGGAAGAAGUAAGUGGCAUGCAUUUUUUUAAGCGUUACUGUAAACUAGGCUGCCUUCUGGUGAUCACUAGCAUCUCAGGGGAAUGUAUAUUUCAACAUGAUUGUGCAUAAAGGGACAAGAUCACUGAGAAAAUCAUGGUUAUUACAUUUUUUUAAAAUGUUGAAAUUCCUGGAAAACUAAGAAGGAUGCCGACUCAGGCAUUACGGGGCUGAAACUCACCAUGAGCUUUUUCCACCUUUGGCUAGGGUCAUGUGAAAGAACACACCAGCUUAAGGGCUGGCUUCCACACAUGACUUCUGUAUGGUCUUCCCUGGAAUCCUCGACAGCUCACUCUCCAUCAAGACUCUUUGGACAGAAGGAAAUGAGAACAGCCAGCUCUUCUUCCACAUGGAUCCAUUCCUCUUGCCAACUGCCCACAUGAAAGCAUUCCUAUUCAGACUUGUGAGGAGGAGCCACACAAUAGUGUUGAAGGAACACAAGAGAACCUUCUAGACCCCUGUGGGCCUCAUCUUGAGUCUACAUCCCCUUCUACAGUUUGACCGCACAAACCUUUGCUUCACUGACUGCUUCUGGCUGUAGUGCACACUGUUCCCUCUGGAAUAUUCUGCUCCAUGUCUUUCUAUGACCGGCUCUCAACUUCAACGUCUCAUCUUUGGAUGACUCUCCUGACUACCUUAAAUAAAGUCCAUUCCCCUCUUGGUAUUUUCUAUUUCAUAGGCCAGGGCCUUUUCUUUAUACCUCUGAGUAUCAUUUGCAAUGAUAUUUUUAUAUUUAAUAUGAGCUCCCUAAAGACAAGGUAUGUGUCUGUCCUGUUCAACACUGCACACCCAGCCCUAACAGUGCUAGCACAGGGUAAAUAUUUGCUCAGUUUGUGAAUGGAUGAACGAAGCCCUUCUAUGAAGAAAUCAAAUCCCCACAGAGAUGCAAGGCAGCAGCCAGCCCCUUAAGUAGGACCACGUGCUCUGGGUUCGCCGCGGCCCCAUGUCUCCCUGUACUUGUUGUGUUCUCUGCACCUCAGGCCUGUGGUCCAUGCCACUGCCCACUCCUCCCUACUCUAGGGCAGACAUGCUGGUCAGCAAGACGGGCGGGGGGGGGGGACUUGCAGUUCACAGCACACACUUGUGUAUUGUUUGAAGUGCUGGCAAGGAGCAUAUACUAGUUGUUGCAACUAAAUUUGUCCCCCUCUCAAAGAAAACACCCCCACUUUCUUUAAAGAGUAAGAUAUACAAAAAUAAAUACCAUGUUUACAU
This is a long non-coding RNA of Manis pentadactyla (Chinese pangolin), 2343 nucleotides long. RefSeq lists it as uncharacterized. NCBI's taxonomy places the organism in Eukaryota, Metazoa, Chordata, Mammalia, Pholidota, Manidae. The record is from RefSeq and is a predicted model, not a curated record. The transcript is spliced from 2 exons.